Molecule: ribosomal RNA, 468 nt
Filed under: uncultured bacterium
Lineage: Bacteria
Description: partial 16S ribosomal RNA
Rfam family: Bacterial small subunit ribosomal RNA
Source: RNAcentral
GACGAACGCUGGCGGCGUGCUUAACACAUGCAAGUCGAACGGAAAGGCCCUGCUUUUGUGGGGUGCUCGAGUGGCGAAAGGGUGAGUAACACGUGAGUAACCUGCGCUUGACUUUGGGAUAACUUCAGGAAACUGGGGCGAAUACCGGAUAGGAGCUCCUGCUGCAUGGUGGGGGUGGGAAAGUGUCGGCGGUUGGGGAUGGACUCGCGGCUUAUCAGCUUGUUGGUGGGGUAGUGGCUUACCAAGGCUUUGACGGGUAGCCGGCCUGAGAGGGUGACCGGCCACAUUGGGACUGAGAUGCGGCCCAGACUCCUACGGGAGGCAGCAGUGGGGAAUAUUGCAAAAUGGGCGGAGGCCGGAUGCAGCAACGCCGCGUGCGGGAUGACGGCCUUCGGGUUGUAAACCGCUUUCGCCUGUGACGAAGCGUGAGUGACGGUAAUGGGUAAAGAAGCACCGGCUAACUACGUG